Molecule: small nucleolar RNA, 128 nt
Organism: Echinops telfairi (small Madagascar hedgehog)
Lineage: Eukaryota; Metazoa; Chordata; Mammalia; Afrosoricida; Tenrecidae
Product: small nucleolar RNA SNORA51
Exons: 1
Source: RefSeq, a predicted model, not a curated record
UGCCUCCUUGAACCUACCACAGGCUAUGCCCUUCCGUUGACUGUAGAAAACGGAAGCAAAGUACGUGCCCUGUAAACUCCUCAACCCAAGCCCUGUGCCUGGUUUGAAUUAUGAAUGGGGCAACAUGG